Molecule: long non-coding RNA, 530 nt
Filed under: Monodelphis domestica (gray short-tailed opossum)
Lineage: Eukaryota; Metazoa; Chordata; Mammalia; Didelphimorphia; Didelphidae
Description: lncRNA (ENSMODG00000036506.1)
Source: RNAcentral
AGGCCAGUGUUCUUGGAUGGCACCCAUUGUUAAUGGAAUAAUAUUAUGGAAAGAAGUGAACCAUUUCUGUUUCCUUGUUAAUAAGGCAUCAUCCUUCUCCUGCAGACCCGUCUGUAAUGUGCUCAGGGAGAUGCGUCAUUUGAGGAACUCCAUGCAUUCAGCAGACCCUCUUGACAAUCAUCUGCAGGGUUGAGAAAAAGAAGCGUGCCCAGGAAAGGGCCACCAUCUUGAUUUUAGAGCAGAUUUCCAAAGGACUGGGAACACGGUGGAAAAGCAUCUGAGAACAGAGACUCUGACAGAGAAGUCUUGCCAAGGAGCCAGUAGUUCAGCAGGUUUGCCUCCCCUAUCAACUUGUGAUUUCUUGUUCAAGACUCAUCCUGAGUUAACAGGGAUUAUGACUUUAUCACAGCCAGCACAUGCCCUCUGUCAGCAAGCUUCAGCUGAGAAAAGACCUGCCCUGGAUGGUUGGAAUGUAAAAGUAAACAUUUCCACAAAGCUCCAAAACAUAGCCACUCCCAAACCAAGGGAAA